RNAcentral lists this ribosomal RNA (466 nucleotides) under Vreelandella stevensii. RNAcentral describes it as "partial 16S ribosomal RNA". It matches the Rfam family "Bacterial small subunit ribosomal RNA", at positions 338 to 795 of the family's 1533-position model. Lineage: Bacteria; Pseudomonadati; Pseudomonadota; Gammaproteobacteria; Oceanospirillales; Halomonadaceae. The record is from RNAcentral.
ACUACGGGUGGCUGCAGUGGGGAAUAUUGGACAAUGGGCGAAAGCCUGAUCCAGCCAUGCCGCGUGUGUGAAGAAGGCCUUCGGGUUGUAAAGCACUUUCAGUGGGGAAGAAAGCCUUGGGGCUAAUACCCUCGAGGAAGGACAUCACCCACAGAAGAAGCACCGGCUAACUCCGUGCACAGCAGCCGCGGUAAUACGGAGGGUGCGAGCGUUAAUCGGAAUAACUGGGCGUAAAGCGCGCGUAGGCGGUCUGAUAAGCCGGUUGUGAAAGCCCCGGGCUCAACCUGGGAACGGCAUCCGGAACUGUCAGGCUAGAGUGCAGGAGAGGAAGGUAGAAUUCCCGGUGUAGCGGUGAAAUGCGUAGAGAUCGGGAGGAAUACCAGUGGCGAAGGCGGCCUUCUGGACUGACACUGACGCUGAGGUGCGAAAGCGUGGGUAGCAAACAGGAUUAGAUACCCGGGUAGUC